UCCGAUUUAUCACCGGCAGUCUCCUUAGAGUUCCCGCCAUUACGCGCUGGUAACUAAGGACAAGGGUUGCGCUCGUUACGGGACUUAACCCAACAUCUCACGACACGAGCUGACGACAGCCAUGCAGCACCUGUCACCCAGUUCCCGAAGGCACUCUCUCUAUGAGGAGAGAUUCUGGGGAUGUCAAGGAUAGGUAAGGUUCUUCGCGUUGCAUCGAAUUAAACCACAUGCUCCACCGCUUGUGCGAGCCCCCGUCAAUUCCUUUGAGUUUUAACCUUGCGGCCGUACUCCCCAGGCGGAGAACUUAUUGCGUUAGCUGCGGCACUAAGAGGUAUCCCUCCUAACGCCUAGUUCUCAUCGUUUACGGCGUGGACUAC
This 377-nucleotide unclassified non-coding RNA is filed under the name uncultured Gammaproteobacteria bacterium. Its description in RNAcentral is "contains 16S-23S intergenic spacer region". Lineage: Bacteria; Pseudomonadati; Pseudomonadota; Gammaproteobacteria. The record is from RNAcentral.